Molecule: ribosomal RNA, 560 nt
Filed under: Lecanicillium sp.
Lineage: Eukaryota; Fungi; Ascomycota; Sordariomycetes; Hypocreales; Cordycipitaceae
Description: partial large subunit ribosomal RNA
Rfam family: Eukaryotic large subunit ribosomal RNA
Source: RNAcentral
UGAAGCGGCAACAGCUCAAAUUUGAAAUCUGGCCCCCCGGGUCCGAGUUGUAAUUUGUAGAGGAUGCUUUUGGCGAGGUGCCUUCCGAGUUCCCUGGAACGGGACGCCAUAGAGGGUGAGAGCCCCGUCUGGUCGGACACCGAGCCUCUGUAAAGCUCCUUCGACGAGUCGAGUAGUUUGGGAAUGCUGCUCAAAAUGGGAGGUAUAUGUCUUCUAAAGCUAAAUAUUGGCCAGAGACCGAUAGCGCACAAGUAGAGUGAUCGAAAGAUGAAAAGCACUUUGAAAAGAGGGUUAAAAAGUACGUGAAAUUGUUGAAAGGGAAGCGCCUAUGACCAGACUUGGGCCCGGUGAAUCAUCCAGCGUUCUCGCUGGUGCACUUUGCCGGGCACAGGCCAGCAUCAGUUUGGCGCGGGGGAUAAAGGCUUUGGGAAUGUGGCUCCCUCGGGAGUGUUAUAGCCCACUGCGCAAUACCCUGCGCCGGACUGAGGUACGCGCAUCGCAAGGAUGCUGGCGUAAUGGUCAUCAGCGACCCGUCUUGAAACACGGACCAAGGAGUCGUC